AUUGAACGCUGGCGGCAUGCUUUACACAUGCAAGUCGAACGGUAACAGGCCUUCGGGUGCUGACGAGUGGCGAACGGGUGAGUAAUGCAUCGGAACGUGCCCAGAGGUGGGGGAUAACGCAGCGAAAGCUGUGCUAAUACCGCAUGUGAUCUGAGGAUGAAAGCGGGGGACCAGGCAGCAAUGUUUGGCCUCGCGCCUUUGGAGCGGCCGAUGUCAGAUUAGGUAGUUGGUGGGGUAAAGGCCUACCAAGCCGACGAUCUGUAGCUGGUCUGAGAGGACGACCGGCCACACUGGAACUGAGACACGGCCCAGACUCCUACGGGAGGCAGCAGUGGGGAAUUUUGGACAAUGGGCGCAAGCCUGAUCCAGCAAUGCCGCGUGCGGGAAGAAGGUCUUCGGGUUGUAAACCGCUUUUAUACGGAACGAAAAGGCUCUGGCUAAUACCUGGGGCUGAUGACGGUACCGUAAGAAUAAGCACCGGCUAACUACGUG
This 492-nucleotide ribosomal RNA is filed under the name uncultured bacterium. RNAcentral describes it as "partial 16S ribosomal RNA". It matches the Rfam family "Bacterial small subunit ribosomal RNA", at positions 30 to 507 of the family's 1533-position model. The record is from RNAcentral.